This 377-nucleotide ribosomal RNA is filed under the name uncultured bacterium. RNAcentral's name for it is "bacterial SSU rRNA". It matches the Rfam family "Bacterial small subunit ribosomal RNA", at positions 523 to 898 of the family's 1533-position model. The record is from RNAcentral.
AUACGUAGGUGGCAAGCGUUGUCCGGAUUUAUUGGGCGUAAAGCGAGCGCAGGCGGUUUCUUAAGUCUGAUGUGAAAGCCCCCGGCUCAACCGGGGAGGGUCAUUGGAAACUGGGAGACUUGAGUGCAGAAGAGGAGAGUGGAAUUCCAUGUGUAGCGGUGAAAUGCGUAGAUAUAUGGAGGAACACCAGUGGCGAAGGCGACUUACUGGACGAUAACUGACGCUGAGGCUCGAAAGCGUGGGGAGCAAACAGGAUUAGAUACCCUGGUAGUCCACGCCGUAAACGAUGAGUGCUAAGUGUUGGAGGGUUUCCGCCCUUCAGUGCUGCAGCAAACGCAUUAAGCACUCCGCCUGGGGAGUACGACCGCAAGGUUGAA